GCUGGCGGCAUGGUUAAGACAUGCAAGUCGAACGGGAAGCAUUACUUCGGUUUUGUGGAAAGUGGCGAACGGGUGCGUAACACGUGAGCAACCUGCCCUUGAGUAUGGAAUAGCCCGACGAAAGUCGGAUUAAUGCCGUAUGUGGCCUUUCUUCGCAUGAUGAAAUGGCUAAAGCUUGUAAUGGCGCUCAAGGAUGGGCUCGCGGCCUAUCAGCUUGUUGGUGAGGUAAAGGCUCACCAAGGCUAAGACGGGUAGCUGGUCUGAGAGGAUGAUCAGCCACACCGGGACUGAGACACGGCCCGGACACCUACGGGUGGCAGCAGUUUCGAAUCAUUCACAAUGGGCGAAAGCCUGAUGGUGCAAUGCCGCGUGGAGGAUGACGGCCCUAGGGUUGUAAACUCCUGUCAUUGGGGAGCAACAAGCAGGUUUAUAGCCUGCCCUGAGUUAACCCAAAGAGGAAGAGGUGGCUAACUCCGUGCCAGCAGCCGCGGUAAUACGGAGACCUCGAGCGUUACUCGGAUUCACUGGGCGUAAAGGGUGAGUAGGCGGCCAAGUAUGUCGGGUGUGAAAUCCCGGGGCUUAACCCCGGAACUGCGCCCGAAACUACUUGGCUAGAGUCUCGGAGAGGAUAGUGGAAUUCCAGGUG
RNAcentral lists this ribosomal RNA (646 nucleotides) under uncultured Pseudomonadota bacterium. RNAcentral describes it as "bacterial SSU rRNA". It matches the Rfam family "Bacterial small subunit ribosomal RNA", at positions 35 to 675 of the family's 1533-position model. Lineage: Bacteria; Pseudomonadati; Pseudomonadota. The record is from RNAcentral.